GUGAGGAAUAUUGGGCAAUGGGGGAAACCCUGACCCAGCGACGCCGCGUGAGGGAAGAAGGUCUUCGGAUUGUAAACCUCUGUCUUCGGGGACGAUAAUGACGGUACCCGGGGAGGAAGCCACGGCUAACUACGUGCCAGCAGCCGCGGUAAAACGUAGGUGGCAAGCGUUGUCCGGAAUUACUGGGUGUAAAGGGAGCGCAGGUGGGGCUGUAAGUCGAAUGUGAAAUCUAUGGGCUCAACUCAUAAAUUGCGUUCGAUACUAUAGUUCUUGAGUGGAGUAGAGGCAGGCGGAAUUCCCGGUGUAGCGGUGGAAUGCGUAGAUAUCGGGAGGAACACCAGUGGCGAAGGCGGCCUGCUGGGCUUUAACUGACACUGAGGCUCGAAAGCGUGGGUAGCAAACAGGAUUAGAUACCCGGGUAGUCC
RNAcentral lists this ribosomal RNA (425 nucleotides) under uncultured bacterium. RNAcentral's name for it is "partial 16S ribosomal RNA". It matches the Rfam family "Bacterial small subunit ribosomal RNA", at positions 354 to 796 of the family's 1533-position model. The record is from RNAcentral.